This 460-nucleotide ribosomal RNA is filed under the name uncultured bacterium. RNAcentral's name for it is "partial 16S ribosomal RNA". It matches the Rfam family "Bacterial small subunit ribosomal RNA", at positions 338 to 795 of the family's 1533-position model. The record is from RNAcentral.
CCUACGGGAGGCAGCAGUGAGGAAUAUUGGUCAAUGGACGAGAGUCUGAACCAGCCAAGUAGCGUGAAGGAUGACUGCCCUAUGGGUUGUAAACUUCUUUUAUAUGGGAAUAAAAUGUUCCACGUGUGGGAUUUUGUAUGUACCAUAUGAAUAAGGAUCGGCUAACUCCGUGCCAGCAGCCGCGGUAAUACGGAGGAUCCGAGCGUUAUCCGGAUUUAUUGGGUUUAAAGGGAGCGUAGGUGGAUUGUUAAGUCAGUUGUGAAAGUUUGCGGCUCAACCGUAAAAUUGCAGUUGAAACUGGCAGUCUUGAGUACAGUAGAGGUGAGCGGAAUGCGUGGUGUAGCGGUGAAAUGCUUAGAUAUCACGAAGAACUCCGAGUGCGAAGGCAGUUCACUGGACUGCAACUGACACUGAGGCUCGAAAGUGUGGGUAUCAAACAGGAUUAGAUACCCGAGUAGUC